UUCCUAGUACGGCGAGUGAGCGGGAUGAGCUCAAAUUUAAAAUCUGGCAGCCUAAGGUUGUCCGAGUUGUAGUCUAGAGAAGCGUUUUCCGCGUAGGCCUGUGUACAAGUCCCUUGGAAUAGGGCGUCAUAGAGGGUGAGAAUCCCGUCCUUGACACAGAUCAUCUAUGCUUUGCGAUGCGCUCUCGAAGAGUCGAGUUGUUUGGGAAUGCAGCUCAAAAUGGGUGGUAAAUUCCAUCUAAAGCUAAAUACUGGCGAGAGACCGAUAGCGAACAAGUACCGUGAGGGAAAGAUGAAAAGCACUUUGGAAAGAGAGUUAAACAGUACGUGAAAUUGUUGAAAGGGAAACGAUUGAAGUCAGUCAUGUGGUUCGAGAUUCAGCCGGUUCUGCCGGUGUAUUUCUCGAGCUACAGGCCAGCAUCAGUUUCGACCGGUGGAAAAAGUUGGAGGGAACGUGGCAUCCUCGGAUGUGUUAUAGCCCUCUUUCACAUGCAUCGGACGGGACUGAGGAACGCAGCGUGCCUUUAUGGUCGGUCUUCGGACACGAACGCGCUUAGGAUGCUGGCAUAAUGGCUUUAAACGACCCGUCUGAAA
RNAcentral lists this ribosomal RNA (593 nucleotides) under Udeniomyces kanasensis. Its description in RNAcentral is "eukaryotic LSU rRNA". It matches the Rfam family "Eukaryotic large subunit ribosomal RNA", at positions 76 to 658 of the family's 3401-position model. Lineage: Eukaryota; Fungi; Basidiomycota; Tremellomycetes; Cystofilobasidiales; Mrakiaceae. The record is from RNAcentral.